RNAcentral lists this long non-coding RNA (1191 nucleotides) under Olea europaea subsp. europaea. Lineage: Eukaryota; Viridiplantae; Streptophyta; Magnoliopsida; Lamiales; Oleaceae. The record is from RNAcentral.
CUCAAGGAAUUAGGACUGCUCUAAGAACAUAUGAAACAUAAAGAUUUCCUUCUCUAAAUGGUUAUCUCUAUAGAAUUACAAUGAGAUAUAACAAGGGUUGUCCAUGUAGACAACAUGCCAAAGAAAAUGUCAUGAUGGCAUUAAACCACCUUAAGCUUCGUGGUCACGAGGUUGAAAUUUUUGCCUGAAACCAAAAUAGAAAAGGAAAUUACAUACUUUUGCACACUAUAUACAUAAAGGAAAUUACAUACUUUUGCACACUAUAUACAUUUAGUUGAGUCCAACUACGUACAUUGUACAUAUGAACAUGCCGACAAAUACACUAUAUUUCAGGCACUGGAACCCCAACAUGUCCCAGGUUUACUAUGGGCCAUGGUAACCUAAUCAAGAGAACUCGUCACAACUACAUAAACGCGUUUACUUCUCAAAUUGGAUGGAGUUAUGGGUCUCCACUUCUCAGCAGAUCAUGCAACUAAUUGUUAUCAACAAUUAAAUCUGAAUUAAUUGUAGAGCUAAAGAAAUUAUUUUGACCAAAUUUUACAAAUAAUAAGUAAGGCCACAUUGGAUAAAAGUUCAGAGAGUAAAUAGGAGAAGAUGGUAAACAAAGAUUGCUUUUAAGUCACACAAACAAAUAAAAAUUUCAUUGGCCAGAACAUAUUUUUCCCUUCAAAAUUGGCAACCAUUAAAAUGGACAACAUCAAAUGCAGCGAUGCAAAAAUAAUAAUAAUAAUAAUAAUAAAGGUAAAUGACUGGAGAUGUGAAUGCAAAGAUUGAAAUGCGAUAUGCACUUUCACGUUGCCAUUUACUAUUAAGAACAAAAAAGCCUUAGUAAAAGCAAGAUCCUUCAACCAUAUUGAGACUGAAAAGGGGGAUAUGGAUUGACGUUUCCAAAAGAUUUAUCAAUGUUAAUUGUCAGGUUGAACACCAAAUGCACGAACCUGUGUUUCUGCUGUGCGCACACAAAUAAAAGGAAAAGAUGGUAUCCUAAUCCAUCCAACAAAAACUAGUAAGAGUAUUCAACCCAUUUUGCCAAAAGUUAUUUGCUAAAUGGUGCAAUCUAUAGCAAUCAUAAAUACCCAUACACAUUUUCAAAAACUUUUCAAAGACUACAAGAAUCUAUAAUUUCUUCUGAGACACAGAAGAAUCUAAGAAUUUGCCAAAGGCAGGCAGAAAAAAAGAAGGAAUUAGAAA